RNAcentral lists this ribosomal RNA (530 nucleotides) under uncultured bacterium. RNAcentral's name for it is "bacterial SSU rRNA". It matches the Rfam family "Bacterial small subunit ribosomal RNA", at positions 980 to 1509 of the family's 1533-position model. The record is from RNAcentral.
CUUGACAUCCAGCGAACUUGGCAGAGAUGCCUUGGUGCCUUCGGGAACGCUGAGACAGGUGCUGCGUGGCUGUCGUCAGCUCGUGUUGUGAAAUGUUGGGUUAAGUCCCGCAACGAGCGCAACCCUUUAUCCUUUGUUGCCAGCGAUUCGGUCGGGAACUCAAAGGAGACUGCCGGUGAUAAACCGGAGGAAGGUGGGGAUGACGUCAAGUCAUCAUGGCCCUUACGAGUAGGGCUACACACGUGCUACAAUGGCGCAUACAAAGAGAAGCGACCUCGCGAGAGCAAGCGGACCUCAUAAAGUGCGUCGUAGUCCGGAUCGGAGUCUGCAACUCGACUCCGUGAAGUCGGAAUCGCUAGUAAUCGUGGAUCAGAAUGCCACGGUGAAUACGUUCCCGGGCCUUGUACACACCGCCCGUCACACCAUGGGAGUGGGUUGCAAAAGAAGUAGGUAGCUUAACCUUCGGGAGGGCGCUUACCACUUUGUGAUUCAUGACUGGGGUGAAGUCGUAACAAGGUAAGCGUAGCGAG